Molecule: ribosomal RNA, 484 nt
Filed under: uncultured bacterium
Lineage: Bacteria
Description: partial 16S ribosomal RNA
Rfam family: Bacterial small subunit ribosomal RNA
Source: RNAcentral
AUUGAACGCUGGCGGAAUGCUUUACACAUGCAAGUCGAACGGCAGCACGGGGGCAGCCCUGGUGGCGAGUGGCGAACGGGUGAGUAAUACAUCGGAACGUGCCCGGUCGUGGGGGAUAACGUAGCGAAAGUUACGCUAAUACCGCAUACGAUCUGAGGAUGAAAGCGGGGGACCUUCGGGCCUCGCGCGAUCGGAGCGGCCGAUGUCAGAUUAGGUAGUUGGUGGGGUAAAGGCCUACCAAGCCGACGAUCUGUAGCUGGUCUGAGAGGACGACCAGCCACACUGGGACUGAGACACGGCCCAGACUCCUACGGGAGGCAGCAGUGGGGAAUUUUGGACAAUGGGCGCAAGCCUGAUCCAGCCAUUCCGCGUGCAGGACGAGGGCCUUCGGGUUGUAAACUGCUUUUGUACGGAACGAAAAGGCUCUGGCUAAUACCUGGGGCUCAUGACGGUACCGUAAGAAUAAGCACCGGCUAGCUACGUG